RNA transcript from Loxodonta africana (African savanna elephant), 14825 nucleotides. It is a transcript of the gene named ADP-ribose glycohydrolase MACROD2-like, with no coding region annotated. The transcript is spliced from 6 exons. The record is from RefSeq and is a predicted model, not a curated record. NCBI's taxonomy places the organism in Eukaryota, Metazoa, Chordata, Mammalia, Proboscidea, Elephantidae.
GGCAGCGGGGCUGAGGCGGGUGGGAGCUGGAGGCGACCGCUGGCUAGGGAGGAGGGCGGCGACUGAGGAGCGACGAGCGGCGCGGGACCAGGAGCCUCUUUCACUUUUUCCCUCCCGAGCGCCCCCUCCCACCCCUCCCACUCCAUACACACCCUGUUUGCCCGUGAGCCUGGGGAACUUGCAGCUUAAAGCCGGCCACCCCCACGGCAACAUGUACCCCAGCAACAAGAAGAAAAAGGUGUGGAGAGAGGAGAAAGAACGUUUACUGAAGAUGACCUUAGAGGAGAGACGCAAAGAAUACGCGAGGGACUAUGUUCCCCUGAACACCAUCCCACCGUGGAAGGAAGAGAUGAAGGGCAAGAGCCAAAGUGAUGAGGAAGAUACUCAGGAAGCAUCACAGGUGAAGAAAAGUUUGAGUGAAAAAGUUUCUCUUUAUAGAGGUGACAUCACAUUGCUAGAGAUAGAUGCUAUAGUCAAUGCGGGCUCUUUGCAAGUUGUGUCAAUUAAGAACAAAUCUGGAUUUAGCUCAACAUUCUGGCUGUGAUGAUUGUAAUUUGGCCGUGUUCUGCAUCUCACAAGGACAGCCUCAUCAGGAAGUUCAUGGGUAGAAGGAAAAGAUACGUCAAAUGUGCAGUGCAAGGCUCUGGUUCCAGCUUUCUGUGGUGCAGUUUGUUUGCCUGGUGUGUAGCAAGAGGAACAGCUGUUUACGUCUCAGAGGUGUUGGAUUUUCAAUGGCUGAUUUUUUGGAAGUAGAUAACUAGGCCUUUCUUCUGAGGUUCCUCUGGAUGGACUAGAACCUCCAACCUUUAGGUUAGCAGUCAAGUGUCUAACCAUUUGUACCACCCAGGCUCUUGAACUUCUUUAGACUUCUUUAAAUAUGCCUCAGGAUGUGCCUCCUACACAUUAAUUUCUUCUCUGUAGGGAAUUAUGCAUACUUUUGUACAUGUUAUUAAAACAGAUUUUGUAAGCAGUGUCCUACAUAAGACAAUACCAUGAGUUGUAGACUCAGGCAGACCCAGGUUCAAAUUCAGUUUCCCAUACUUGGGCCAUUUUCUGUUUACACUUGUUACUUUGAAAUAAUUAUAGAAAAUUGCAAACAUAGUACAAAGAGUCCUGUGUACCCUUCACCUGUGUAAGCAUCCCCCAACGGUGACAUCCUGUAUAUGUUUUUAACUUGCAUGCUUUUGUGUGAGAGUGUGUGUGUGCAUGGUGUGCAGUUCUGUGCAAUUUUAUUUCACAUAUAGACUUAUGUAACCACCACCACAGUCAAGAUAGAGUACUGUUCCAUCACCGCAAAAGAACUUCGUUAUGUGACCUGUUCAUAUUCGCACCCCCACCUUUCCACCCUCCUUCCUCUUCUCUAACUCUAUAAUUUUGUUAUUUUAAGAAUGUUGUAUAAAUGGAAUAAUACAGCAUGUAACCCUUUGAGAAUGACUUUUUUUUUUUACUAUACGUAAUGCCGUUGAGGUACAUUCAGGUUUUGCAUGUGUCAGGAGUUCAUUCCUUUUUAUUGCUGAGUGAGUUGCAUAGAUGGGUAUACCAGAGUUUGUUCAACAGUUCAUCCAUUGAAGGACAUUUGAGUUGUCUCCAGUAUUUUGCUAUUACAAAUAAAACUGAUAGGAAUAUUCAUGUCGACAUUUUUUUUAUGAACACAAGUUUUCAUUUCUCUGGGAUAAAUACUCAAGAGUAUGGUUGCUUGGUCUUAUGAUAUGCUCAUGUUUAGUAUUGUAAGAAACUGCUAAACUAUUUUCCAUAGUGGCUGUAUCAUUUUACAUUCCUACCAGCAAUGUAUCAGAGAUCCUCCAUACCCUUAUCAGCAUAUGGUGUUAACCACUAUUCGAACCAACUGGACGGCAACUAACAACAACAAUAGGCAUGUAGUGAUACCCUGGCAUGGUUUUAAUUUACAUUUCCCUAAUGGUUAUGCGUUAUGCAGAUGACACAACCUUGCUUGCUGAAAGUGAAGAGGACUUGAAGUAAUUACUGAGGAAGAUCAAAGACCUCAGCCUUCAGUAUGGAUUACACCUCAAUAUAAUAUAAAGAAAACAAAAAUCUUCACAACUGAACCAGUCAGCAACAUCAUGAAAAAUGGAGAAAAGAUUGAAGUUAUCAAUGAUUUCGUUUUACUUGGAUCCAUAAUCAAUACCCAUGGAAGCAGCAGUCAAGAAAUUAAAAGAUGUGUUGCACUGGGUAAAUCUGCUGCAAAAAACUCUUUAAAGUGUUGAAAAGCAAAGACGUAACCUUGAAGACUAAGGUGCGCCUGACCCAAGCCGUGGCGUUUUCAGUCACUUCAUAUGCAUGUGACAGCUGAACUAUGAGUAAGGAAGACUGAAGAAGAAUUAACGUCUUUGAGUAGUGGUGUUGGUGAAGAAUAUUUAAUGUACUAUGGACUGCCAAAAGAACAAACAAACCUGUCUUGGAAGAAGUACAACCAGAAUGUUCCUUAGAAGCAAGGAUGGUGAGACUACAUCUCACAUACUUUGGACAUAUUAUCAGAAGGGAUCAGUCCCUGAAGAAGGACAUCAUAAUGGUAAAGUAGAGGGUAAGUGAAAAAGAGGAAGAUCCUUAAGAACAUGGACUGACACAGUGGCAGCAACAAAGGGCUCAAGCAUAGCAAUGAUUGUGAGGAUGGUACAGGAACAGGCAGUGUUUUGUUCAUUUGUACAUAGAGUCGCUAUGAGUCAGAACCAGCUCAACAGGUGUUAAGUGCUAAGAAUAACAACAAAAAUGGUAAAUGUAGUAGAACAUCAUCAUGUGCUUUUAUGCCAUCCACAUCUCCUCUUUAUUAAAAUAUCUGUUCAUGUCUUUUGUCAUUUUGUAAUGGCGUUUCAGGGCCACUUUAAGAUGUUUGUAAAGUUUUAUUUUUCAAGGCUUCACUCCAAUCAUAUCUGAUAUAUUAAAAUCUGCCACAGCCUACAUAAUUUAUGAUUAUGUAAGAGUUGGGUGACAGCUGAUUAAUUGCAAUAAUGGUAUGUUAAAAAAAAAGAACAAACCCAUUGCUGUCGAGUGGAUACCGACUCAUAGCGACCCUAUAGGACAAAGUAGAACUGCUCCAUAGGGUUUCCAAGGAGUGCCUGGUGGAUUUGAACUGCCGACCUUUUUGGUUAGCAGCCGUAGCACUUAACCACUACACCCCCAGGGUUUCCAAUGGUAUGUUAGGUAAACAUUAAUUUUUAUUUUGUAGUUUUAACAUUUUGAAGCCCUAGUUUUUUUUUUUUUUCCUGGUCCCAAACAUUGUUGUAGAGUCUUGAAAACUUGUUAGCGCAGUGCCGGUAACGCAAAUUAUAAACUGCCCAUGCUGAUAUCAACUUGCUUUGGCAGAUUAUUUAACUUUAAAUCCUUACUUCUUUCAUUUACAAAGUAGAGAUGAUACAAGUAACUAGGCUCAGAGAGAUGUUGUGAAUAAUGUGUGAAAAUUACGAGCACAAUUCUGGCACAAAAUAGGUACUUAGAAACCCUGGUGGUGUAGUGGUUAAAAGCUAUGGCUGCUAACCACAAGGUCUGCAGUUCAGAUCCACCAGGUGCUCCUUGGAAAUUGUAUGGGGGCAGUUCUACUCUCUCCUGUAGGGUCGCUAUGAGUCGGAAUUGACUUAACAGCAUUGGGUUUGAUUUUGGGGGGGGGGGUGGUGAGGUGGGGGAGGUGCGUAUUUUAGCGAUCAGAAUUAGCAAUAUAUAGGUUUGGAAUGGGCUUUAUACCACUGCUUUCUUCUCUGAGAGACUCAGAUUAGCCAAGGAGAUGGAGACUAUCUCUCAUGUUUAUUAGCAUUCUGAUUUUCCAUUAUUCGCAGAGCCAGUUUUCCACCUGAAGACACUGAUGCUAAAGCUAGAGCAGCUGCCUUUUUCCUGAGCAGCGUUCAAAACGGCGCAUGUUUUAAUAUGAAUUUGUGUAAUUACUAAUAUGUAAUUGACCUUUUUUUUUUUAAUUGACCUAGAUCUGUAUAUACAUUAAAUUUGACCUGUUUGAACUAUGACUUUAAAUAAAGUACAACUGACUAUACAAUAGAGAGGUAUUUUCCAAAAUAUCUUGUCUGGAUAAGAUAUUAUUUCAAAUUAUUCCAAAUUAUAUUAUCUGGAUUACCUGUAUGUGAUGUUCAGUUUCUACCUCUCAGAGCAGUAUUUUUCUAGUAAAAAAAUUCAGUAUUUGAGUACAGUUUAGACUUUUAAAUCAAUUACUUCAUGGGCAUGCUUGAAAACAUUUGGGUACACAUGCUAGGAUCUUUAGGGUUAAAUGAACAGAUUUUCGAACAUUGCCUAAAUAGAGAUAUAAGAAGCAUAUACUUGAUUAAAGAGUCAGCAACCAUUUAUUGAGUACUUAUUAUGUGCAACCCACCGUUUCUCCCGUUGUGCAUGGGAUGGCCAUGAGUCAGGGUCCAACUCAACAGCAGCUAACAAUGAGUGAAGAACUGAGCUACACAGUAGGGGAAGAGAAGUCAGUAAACAAUUGCUAUAUAGCACUUUAAAGUUCUUUAUCAGAGCCAUGUCCAAGAGGAAAAGCAAGUGAACCAGGGAAGCAGGUGAGUGCGUGGUCAACUGGGGAAUCGCACGUAGCCGAGAGUACUUGGAACAAACAUAGGUAGAGGCAGGAUUAUGAAGUGCUUUGUACCUUACUUGCCGGAGCUUAGUUUUUGUUUUUUUUGGAGAAGGUGAAGAGUCUUUGAAGAAUUUUUCAGACAGCAAUGACAUGGUCAGGUAUGUAUCAAAAGAAAGCUUUGUCAGAAGUAUGAAGGAUAAAUUGGGGAAGGAUUAAUUUGAGGGGGAGGCUCGAAGCAGAAAUGAAACUGUUUAACUUUAUGCUAAGUACCAGUACUUUCGCUGAAAUAAAUUUGAUGUUUUCCACUUCCAGCUCAUAACUGCAGUAUUACUGCUUCUGUCUCUGCCCUCUUUUAACUCUGGAAUGAUUCUUUGAUGAUGCUGGUUUGAAUCCAUUUUGAUUCAGACUUAGUGUGAAUGAAUUAGAUCAGAAAAACUCCUGAAUAAAAGCGUUAUUUGUUCUUUCAGCAUUUCGUGAAUUCCUAACUUGGGCAGAGCAGUUCUGAGGCACUGCUAAUCUGGCUGUCCCCAACUUUUCCACUAAAACUUUUCUCACUGCGUCACUGUAGCUUCUUUUUCCUCAAACAAUGGACCCUUUUUCAGCUCUUAUUUUUCUGGAUUUCUUGGUAGCAUUUACUUCUGUUGACCACUUCAUCUCUUAUUGUUAAUCUUACUUAAGCUUCAGUAAUGCACACUUGGCAGUCUUCUUUCUGUAGCUCCACAACAUGACCUUCAUUUAGGCCACAUCAUUUCUCACCUAGAAUAUUGCACUAGAUUCCUGAGUGUUUUCCCUGCAACUUCACCUGUUCUGCAGAUGCAGCCAAAAUGCCCUUUAUAAAAUGCAAAUCUUCCCAUGCUACUUCUCUGUUCAGCUGCCUUUAGUGGCUCCCCAUUGUUCAUAACAUCAAAGGGACACUCCUCAACCUGGCACAGAAGGCCCUGCCUCAUUAUCCUUCUCCAGCCUAAUCUCUUUUCACUGACCUGCAGUUCAUUUUCUUUCUCUGUCUCUGCCUAUCUCCUAUUGGUUCUUCUCUGGAGAGCCUGACUAAUACAGCACUUCACACAAUGCCUAUUAUAUAGUCACACUCAGUAAAUGAUAACAGAAUUAUACUGCUUAGUUCUUGUACACGCCCCACCAGACCAGCGACUGGAGUGGCUCCAAGGGGCACAGGUCGAAUUCCAAAAAAAGAGGUGGAAAAAGCCAGUUUGAUCAGAUCCAGCUUUACUACAUAUAGAGAUCAACCCCAUUAUUCUCAGGACAGACUGCAAAGUGUCGAGUCACCUAGGUAAAGGUCCAUGUGGGGCAGUAGGAGGUCUGGGUUUAUAUACUUAGUACUUAUGUGCAAGGAUGCGUGCAGGGGAACCAGGAAAAAAACGAACAAAAAACCUAUGUCUAAUAUAUGAUGGAUGGGAUUGUUUUUGUACUAGUUAAUGGAUUUCAGUUGAUGUUACCAUGAAGUCAGGGGUUUGGUGCAUACUCUGAUUCUCUCCCAGAGUUCUGUGUGGCAGGACCCAUCUUGUAUUGUUCAUUACCCUCACAGUUCUAAUAUCAGAAAAAUGAUUUUUAUAUGAAUGUAACAAGGUAAUUAUGGAUGUUUUUCAAGUCUUAUACACUGAUAAAUAUAUGACCAAGUAAAAGGCUUUAUUUUAUGUCCCACAAUUUUAGUUUGGAGGAAAAGUUGUCCAAUUCUGAAGCUUUGUAAUAAAAGCCAAGUUAUCACAACACUGUUAGUCACAUGGGCUAUAAUCGAUUCAACAGUAUCUAACAACAACAGUGACCAAGGGAAAAGAAUGGUUUUAAUUUACCUUUAGUGAUAAGUGUUUUUCCUGCAUUAUUUGUGAAUGUCAUAAAUGUGUCAAAAAUUCAGAUAGUGAAAUAUGAUUGAUAGACAUUUAAUAGUUGGGCAUAAUUUGAUGAAGAAAACUUGAUAUAGAAUACCUAUCUUUUAUAUUAGGUAAAUCAGGUAGUAGGAAUGCAUGUUGUGGAAGAAAUUUUGCCUAAUACACCUAUCACUCUCAGAAUUUCUUUAAAUUGUCACCUCCAGUUGCUUAAAAUGAUUUUUUUUUGUAUUCAAUAAAACUUAAAUAAGUCAUGUUUGAAAUUAGAAUUUAAGUCAUUGGGACAAUAAGAUUUAUUUACUGUCAGACAUAUUUUAGGAUAGAACUGACAGCAACUACUUGAUUAAAUAUGAAAUUUCAUCUCUGCUAGCAAAGCACUACAAUUCUUUCUGCUUUCUCCUUGUUCUAGCAAGGAAUAUUGAAUUUUUUAUUAUAUGGUUUUAAAUUUUUUGUUGAUCUAUAAUACAUAACAAAAGCAUACCCAUAAAUGUAUAGCUCGAUAAAUUUUCACAAACUGUUACAGCAUCCAGAUCAAAAAGCAGAAGUCCCCUUAUCAUUCCCCAGCAUCCUGUACUGAAUAUAGGAUACUGUAUUCACUAUCUUGACUUUUAGCAGCGUAGAUUUGUUUUGCCUGUUUUUGUAUUUUACACGAAUGGAACCAUGUUGUGUAUACUCUUCAGUGUUUGGCUUUAUUUGUUCACCAUUUUGCUUGUAAGAUUGAUACAUACUGUUUGUGGUUGUAGAUAAUUCACUGUCAUUGUUAAUGUAAUAUUUUAUGGUGUGAAUACAUCAUAAUUUAUGUAUCCAAUUCUGUUGAUAGGCAUGCAGAUAGUUUCCAGCUUGGAUCUGUUAGUACUGCAGUGAACAUUCUAAAGUGUGUGUAUAUUUUUUAAGUAUAUGUAUAUAUAUAUAUUUCCUGUUAGGUCUAUAUAUGAGAGUGGAAUUGCUAUAUCAUAGAAUCUGUUUAUGUUUAGCCUUAGUAGAUACUACCACGUGGUUUUCAAAGUGGAUGUAUUACUUUACACUUCCACUGGCGGUAUAGAUAUGAGAGUUCUGUUAGCUGUAUGUCCAUGCUUAUUGAUAUUUUCUAUAUUGUUUUCUAAAAUGGUGUAUGACUUAGUGUUACAAAUUGAAUUGUGUCCCCCAAAAGUGUGUAUCAACUUGGCUAGGCCGUGUUUCCCAGUAUUGUGUGGUUGUCCACCAUUUUGUGAUCUGAUGUGAUUAUCCUAUGUGUUGUAAAUCCUAACCUCUACGAUGUUAAUGAGGCAGGAUUAGAUGCAGUUAUGUUAAUGAGCAGGACUCAAUCUACAGGAUUACGUUGUAUCUUGACGCAGUCUCUUUUGAGAUGUAAAAGAGAGAAACGAGCAGAGCCAGGAGCAGAAUGCAAUCUUUGGACGGGGGGUCCCUGUGGGAGAAGCUCCUAGACCAGGGGAAGAUUGAAGACAAGGCCUCCCUCCAGAGCCGACAGAAAGAGAAAGCAUCCCCUUGUAGCUGGUGCCCUAAAUUCAGACUUCUAGCAUCCUGAACUGUGAGAGAAUAAAUUUUUCUUUGUUAAACCUAUCCACUUCUGAUAUUUCUGCUAUAGCAGCACCAGAUAACAAAGAUGACUAAGACGCUUAGUGGUAAUAUUUUAAAGAGUGUAUCAGGUAUGCUAUGAUAAACCAAAUUAUUUAUCAAUUUGUAGCUAACAAUCCAUGUUAAGGCUUGUGUAAGUGAAGAAAUAAUACAAUAAGAAAUGUAAGUGUUGUUUUCCUAUGGCUGAGGAUGAGAAGGUGGGGUUGUUUUAUGUAGUUCCUUAUUUAUUUCAUAAUAUAGAUGUAAUAAAUUUUCUUCGUCUAGGUGGUAACAUUUAAGAACAAAUAAACCGUUAUGCUCUAAAAGUACUACUACUAUUUAUUACUAGCACUACUGCUGUUGCCUUUUGCGAAGACCAAAAAAAGACAAAAGUGUUUUAAAAGUGGUACUCUCACGUCUACAUUUGGGAGAAAAAAGCAGUUUUAGAAAAAAAUUUUGAGAGGUCUAUUUACACAUGUAAGCAUACCAUAAAGCCUGUCAUUUUACUGAACACAGAUACAGUAAAAUUCCUAUAAUAUAGUCGUAAAGGCACAUUCAAAAUAGGGUUAUAUCAGUAGUUUGCAUUUAUAUUGUAGCACUGGGUUGGUUUGGGUUAUACCUUAUCAAUAAGACUCAUUUAAUGUCUUAUGGUAUUAGUAAUUAAAAAAUGUAUAACAUUUAUUUUUCUGAGUAUAAAUGUAAACUUAUUGAGAAAAUUGUCAAAUACAGAAAAUAAUAAAGAAAAAAUAAAAUUUUGCCAAAUUUUACUAUCUAGAGAUAACUACUAUCGAUAUUUGUUUUAUACCCUUAUGAUCUUUAGAAUACAUGUAUAUAGAGUGUUACAAGUUAUAUACUUUACAAGAAUAUUACGUGCGUUAUAUUCUUUUUCCAUGAAAAUUUAUCAUGAAUAUUUUACAUAAGUGCUAAGAACAGGAUUUCAAUGAUUAUUAAUUUUAAUUUUUAUAAAUAAAGCUAUAAUAUCAUAAUAAUAAUAAGUAAUAAAGGUAUAUAAUCAUCUCUGAUUAUUUUUUCAAAAUAUGUUAUUCAUAAGCAAUUACCGGGUGAUAAGCUUUGCUGAUUUUUAAUGAUUUUGAUAUUCAUUCCUUUUUAGAACAAAUGCUGUAAUUUGUUUCCUGAAGAGUGAAAUUUCCAGGCAUAAAUCCUUAUAAACCACAGGUUACAUCAUUGGGAUCUCAAACCUGCUGAUUUGAUAGUGAUUGCUGAUAUUUAAUAUCUUUUAUUAUUAGUGAUUUUGAGUGCUCUUUUCUUAUAUUUAUUGGGCAUUUGAAUUUUUUUUUUAAACUUUCAUGUUCAUAUCCCUAACCAGGCUUUCUACUGAGGACUUUUCUUGCCUUAAUUGGGUAAAGCAUAUUAUAUCUUAGUGAGAGUAAAUCUUCGCCAUACAUGUUACUAACAUUUUUGUCAAAUUGACUUUAGUUGUUUCAGUUGACUUUAGUUGUUUUCUUCCUUUGGUAUUGAAUUCAAAAUGGUCUUUCCGACACAAAGUUUAGAUAAAUAGUUUCUUAUGUUUUCUUUACUUUCUUAAUGAUAUAUUAAACUCCAUUCGUAUUUAUGCUCAUGAAAGAUAUGAGACAGUAAUGUAUAUUUGUGAAUUAUUGUGGCUUUCAUAUAUAUCUUUUAAUUUGAGAUAGUUUGACUCCUCCCUCAGCCCCUACUAUUUGUCUACUUUUUCAAAUAUUUCUUGGCUAUUCUCACCCUUAUAUUCUACCAGUCACAGUUAGAAUCAGUUUUUCAACUUCGAGAGCAAAACAAAAAAUAUAAAUCACCACCACAGCAGUAGCCCAGGAAUUUCAAUGGAAUUUUGGUUAGAAAUUUAAGUUAUUCAAGCAGUUUUGGCAUCUUUACCAUAUUGAGUCUUCCCAGUCAGGAAUGGGGCUGCUUGUUAGAUUUAUUCAAAUAUGUGUGUGUAUGUAUGUAUGUUGCUUUUGAGUUGAUUCCAACUCAUAGCGACCCUAUGGGACAGAGUAGAACUGCCCCAUAGGGCUUUCAAGGAGCGGCUGGUGGAUUUGAACUGCCCACCUUUUGGUUAGCAGCCGUAGCUCUUAACCUCUACACAACCAGGGUUUCCGAACAUAAGUAUGUAUAUAUUUGUCAGUAAAGUUUUAUAGUUUUCUUCAUGUGGGACCCAUAAAGUUGUUGUUUUAUCCUAGAAAGUUUAUAAUUUUGUUGCUAUUAUGAUUGAUAUAUAUAUAUUUUUUCUAUUAUUUAUUUUAACUAAUAUAGUAGACCUAUUAAUUUUACAGGAGCCCUGGUGGUGCAAUGGUUAAACACUUGGCUGCUAACGGAAAGGUCAGUGGUUUGAAACCACUAGCCACUCUGUGGGAGAAAGAUGUGACAGUCUGCUUCUGUAAAGAUUAGUGUAUUUUUACGCAAAUAACAUGCGCCUUCUACGUUUGCUUGGCCCCUGCGCUCUCCCGGUGGGAGAUAUUUUUGUAAACACAGUAUGCUAAUUUUUUUACAGCAACAUGGAAAAAUAAUUGGUAUAAUGGUGUUUACUAAAAUAACCUCCGGGGAGGAAGGAGCAGUUGGCAAACAAAUGUAAAAGGUGUGUGUUAGUUACAUGAAAAUACAGUCAGUUCUGCUCUGACCUCUAGAGUCUCUAUAUGAAUUGGAAUCAACUUGGUGGAAGCAGGUUUGGUUUUUUGUUUUUUUGGUUUGUUAUACAAUUGCCUACCGUAUUGAAAUUAAUUUUAAUCGCUUUUCAGUCAAUUCCCUUGGGUUUUCUAGGCAUGCUUGUUGUUAUAUGCAUACUUCUCUGCCCUUUUUAUUGCAUUAGAUGAUACAUGAUAAACCAGUGCUAAAUUACUUGUGAUAAGACAUUCUUGUUUAGUACUCGUUGGGAAUACUGGCAGUUUGGUGUUUCAAAAUUCAUUCAUUCAACAAAUAUAUACUAAAUACCUACUCUAUCACAGUGAUAUGCUAAGUGUAAGAACGGUGGUGGUUUAGUGGUAGAAUUUUCAUCUUCCAUGUGGGAGACCUUUUGUUUUCUUCAUGUACGUUGUCCUUGAUGUCAUCCUAUAACUCGUCUGGUCUUGGGUCAUUAGUGUUCAAUUCAUGAGAUCUAUUCUUGAGAUGGUCUUUAAAGUCAGGUGGGAUAUACUCAAGGUUGUACUUUGGCUCUCAUGGACUUGUUUUCAUUUUUUUCAGCUUCAACUUGAACUCACAUAUGAGCAGUUGAUAAUCUGUUCCACAAUUGGCCCCUGAUCUUGUUGUGACUGAUUAUAUUUAUCUUCUUCAUCAUCUCUUUCCACAGAUGUAGUUGAUUUGGUUCCUGUAUAUUCCAUCUGGUGAGGGCCACGUUUAUAGUCACCAUUUAUGUUGUUGGAGAAAAGCAUUUGCAGUGAAUAUGUCAUUGGUCUUGCAGAAUUUUAUCAUGCAGUCUCUGGCAUCAUUUCUAUCACCAAGGCCAUACCUAACUACUGUUCCUUCUUCUUUGCUUCCAGCUUUCCCAUUCCAAUCACCAGUAGUUAUCAAUGCAUCUUGAGUGCAUGAUUGAUCAAUUUUAGACUGCAGAAGUUGGUAAAUGUCUUCAAUUUUUUUUUUUUAUUUUUGGCAUUAGUGGGUGGGUUGUAAAUUUGAAUAAAAUCGUUGUAAACUGGUCUUCCUUGUGUGUGGAUAUUACACUAUCACUAACAGAGUUGUACUUCAGAUAUUUCUUGAAAUGUUCUUUUUGAUGAUGAGUGUGAUGACAUUCCUCUUUAAUUUGUCAUCCCUGGCAUAGUAGAUCAUAUGAUUGUCAGAUUAAAAAUGGCCAGUACCAAUCCAUUUCAGUUCACUAAUGCCUAGGAUAUCUAUCUUCAAGCAUUCCAUUUCAUUUUGACAGCUUCCGAUUUUCUUUGAUUCUUACUUUGUACAUUCCAUAUUCUGAUUACUAAUGAAAUUUGCAGUUGUUUCUUCUCAUUUUGAGUUGUACCACAUCAGCAAGUUUGGGCAUGUUGUUAGGAGGGACCAGUCCCUAGAGAAGACAUCAUGCUUGGUAAAGCAGAGGGUAACGAAAAAGAGGAAGACCUUCCAUGAGAUGGAUUGACACAGUUGAUGUAACAGUGGUCUCAAACAUGGCAAGGAUUGUGAGGCUGGUGCAGGAACAGGCAGUGUUUUGUUCUGUUGUAUAUAGGGUCACUAUGGUCAGAACUGACUCGAUGACACCUUACAGCAACAACAUGUGAGAGACCCAGGUUUGAUUCCUGGUCAGUGUUCCUCAAGCACAGUCACGACUUGUCUGUCAGUGAAAGUUUAUGUUGUGUUGUGAUGCUGAACAGAUUUCAGUGGAGAUUCCAGACUCAGAUGAAUAGGAAGAAAGGCCUGGUAAUCUAAUUCUGAAAAUCAGCCAGUGAAUGCCCUAUGUAUCACCAUGGUCUGCUCUCACUGUGCAUGGGGUCACCAUGAGUUGGAGGCCAACUUGAUGGCAGCUAAUAACCUUGGAAACAAGGAUGACAAAAUUUUAUCUCAUGUACUUUGGACAUGUUAUCAGAAGGGAACAGUCCCUGGAGAAGGACAUCAUGCUUGGUAAGGCAGAGGGUCAACAAAAAAGAGAAAGGCCCUAAACGAGAUGGAUUGACACAGUGGCUAAAACAACGGGCUCAAACAUAGCAAUGAUUGUGAGGAUGGAGCAAGACUGGGCAGUGUUUCUUACUGUUGUACAUAGUGUCACUAUGAGUUGAAACUGACUUGACAGCACCUAACAAGUAUAAGAGAUAAAAUGGUGAAAAAGACAGAAAUCUUUGUAAAUUUUAAGCCCUUGAGUUUACAAUUUAGUGGGAGAAGCUGUUAUUAAUCAAGUUAUCCAAAUAAAUACAAAAUGACAUAUAAGUUUGGAGUUUACUGGUAGAUGGAGAUUUUUGCUGUUAUAUAUGUUUUUAAUUUUGCUAAUUGUAGGGUAGUCUAAGUAAAGGAUUAGGUCCUUAUUACAGAGUUCACCCUGUGAGGAAAGGAAAGUCAAUAUGAAAUUAAAGUAUUAACCACAGUGAAAUGAUUAAGUUUUUAAUCAAGUAGACAAAAUAAAAUUUAUUAUCUGUCUUUCUCCAUUAUUUCUUUGAGCUUUUUGUAAUUUUUUUCUUCUGGAUGAUUGUGCACUUUUUCAUUUGUAUUUUAAUUAUUUAAUAAUAUGCUUCAUAUUAUUUUUUCUCUUUAAAAUAGUUUUCCUAAUCUUUAAUAUGUUCUUUUCAUUGCUUCUGAAAAGCUCAGCAGGACUAGGAAUCUGUUGAGUAAUGCAGUGUAAAGUUAAAUUUUGAAUCAUACAAUAUUGUAUGAACCUACUUACAUGAAAUACCUAGAAUAGCCAAAUGAAUGGAGAUCAGAGUUUAUUAGUCAUUAUCAGGGGCAGGUGGGAAGAGGAAAUGGGGACGUAUUGUUUAAGGGGUACUGAGUUUUUAUGAGUGUGAAUCAAAUUGAUGGCAAUGGGUUUGGUUUUUGGUUUGAGUUUUUGUUAAAGGUGAUAAAAAAUUUGCAGUCAUAUAGUGGUGAUGGUUGCAUAACAUGAUGAAUGUAAUUAAUGUCACUGAUUUGUAUGCAUAAAAAUGGUUGAAUUGGCAAAUGUUUUCUACAUAUAUAUCUCACCAGAAUAAGUUUUUUAAAUUAAAUGUUGAUUUUAAACUUAUGGAAAUUUCAGACUUCUUUUAAUUUUAAUUUGGGAUAGCUGUCUAUUAAAUCGGAAUCCCUAGUGGCAUAGUGGUUAAGAGCUACAGCUGCUAACCAAAAGGUUGGCAGUUUGAAUCCACCAGGUGCUCUUUGGAAACUCUAUGGGGCAGUUCUACUCUGUGCUCUAGGGCCCCUAUGAGUUGGAAUCGACUUGAUGGCAACAGGUUUGGUUUUGGUUUGAUCUAUUAAAUAAUUAGCAGCUGGCUGCCUGUUACUUAUGGGAUGAUACUGUUGAAGUUCCUAGAAGCAUUAGUUCCUAGCAUAGAGAUAAUAAUGUUCAGAAACCACCUCCUACUUCCCUUUCUGUAGAUUCAGCCCAGUUCCCAUUCAAGCUAAGCCAGCGAAGGGGAAAGAAUUACGUUGUUCCCUUCCUUUACUCUCCUUCCUAUCCUAUACUAGAACUUGCUGAAAAGUUUGAAAAUCAUCACUGUGGAUAGCUGUCAUUUGGGGCUGACCUGUAGGAUACAUUUGAAUGAAAGGAUGUAGGAUGGGGAAGAACUAUUUUUUUGAGAUGGAUUCUUAGCACUGUCUAGAGCUUCAAAUUUGAGCUUCAAGAUGAAAGUAUAUCUGUGUCUUCCUUUUAACUGGUGUGAGGAUAGAAAUGAGUUUCUGUGAGGAUAGAGUGAAAGAAUAAAUGAAAGAGAGGCUCUGUGAUGUGUUAAAUAUCAGUUUUUAAUUUGUUUACUCUGUAUCCCAACAUAUUUUCCAAAAUAUUUCUGCCCCCCAACCCAUCACUUCUUUGAUUUUCAGAUCUACAAAUUUUUCUGAAGAAAUUUGUAGAAUCGAACUAAACAUUAAAUCCUCCAAAUAAUUAGAACAUAAUUCUCAAGAGAAAAUAAUUGCCGAGAGAGAUGGAUUGCUGCCAAGAAAUUCCCCUCUGAGACUUCAUCUUCUAUUUUUGGCUCCUGCUAUCACUAUUUUUGGAACCCUGGUGGUGCAGUGGGUUAAGCGUUCAGCUGCUAACCGAAAAGUCCAUUGUUUAAACCCACCAACUGCUCCACAGGGGAAAGAUGUUACAAUCUGCUUCCAUAAAGAUUAUAGCCUUGGAAACCGGAUGAGUCAGCUCUACUCUGUCCUGUAGGGUCACUACGAGUUGGAAUUGGCUCAAUGGCAAUGAGUUUUUUUGUUUAUCACUACUUUUAGAAGUAUAGCCCCUGGAGUUGAACAGUAACAUAGUUCUCAAGGGGCUUUGGAGAGACAAAAAAAAUGGGGGAAGUGGCUGCAGCUGCUUAGACAUUUGUCUC